AUGCAGUCGACGCCCCGCAAGGGGAGUGGCAGACGGGUGAGUAACGCGUGGGAACAUACCCUUUCCUGCGGAAUAGCUCCGGGAAACUGGAAUUAAUACCGCAUACGCCCUACGGGGGAAAGAUUUAUCGGGGAAGGAUUGGCCCGCGUUGGAUUAGCUAGUUGGUGGGGUAAAGGCCUACCAAGGCGACAAUCCAUAGCUGGUCUGAGAGGAUGAUCAGCCACAUUGGGACUGAGACACGCCCAAACUCCUACGGGAGGCAGCAGUGGGGAAUAUUGGACAAUGGGCGCAAGCCUGAUCCAGCCAUGCCGCGUGAGUGAUGAAGGCCUUAGGGUUGUAAAACCUCUUUCACCGAUGAAAAUAAUGACGGUAGUCGGAGAAGAAGCCCCGGCUAACUUCGUGCGAGCACCCCGCAUC
Molecule: ribosomal RNA, 417 nt
Filed under: Rhizobium leguminosarum bv. viciae
Lineage: Bacteria; Pseudomonadati; Pseudomonadota; Alphaproteobacteria; Hyphomicrobiales; Rhizobiaceae
Description: bacterial SSU rRNA
Rfam family: Bacterial small subunit ribosomal RNA
Source: RNAcentral